UGGGGAAUCUUGCGCAAUGGCCUAACGGCUGACGCAGCGACGCCGCGUGAGGGAUGACGCCCUUCGGAGUGUAAACCUCUGUUGCUCGGGACGAAUGGCGCCUUUUGGCGACGUGACGGUACCGAGUGAGGAAGCACCGGCUAACUCCGUGCCAGCAGCCGCGGUAAUACGGGGGGUGCGAGCGUUGUCCGGAAUCACUGGGCGUAAAGGGCGCGUAGGUGGCCUGGUAAGUCUGUGGUGAAAGCCCGGAGCUCAACUCCGGGUCUGCCGCGGAUACUGCGAGGCUUGAGUGCUGUAGAGGGGGGUAGAAUAUCGGGUGUAGCGGUGGAAUGCGUAGAGAUCCGAUAGAAGACCGGUGGCGAAGGCGGCCCCCUGGGCAGUAACUGACACUGAGGCGCGACAGCGUGGGGAGCAAAC
RNAcentral lists this ribosomal RNA (417 nucleotides) under uncultured bacterium. RNAcentral describes it as "bacterial SSU rRNA". It matches the Rfam family "Bacterial small subunit ribosomal RNA", at positions 355 to 773 of the family's 1533-position model. The record is from RNAcentral.